Long non-coding RNA from Papaver somniferum (opium poppy), 1345 nucleotides. RefSeq lists it as uncharacterized. The transcript is spliced from 9 exons. The record is from RefSeq and is a predicted model, not a curated record. NCBI's taxonomy places the organism in Eukaryota, Viridiplantae, Streptophyta, Magnoliopsida, Ranunculales, Papaveraceae.
CUUAUCAACUUCGUGAAAAACGAAAUCCCCAAUUUUUCCCACUCUCCAAAAAUUCGUUUCCCCCCUAAAUUACUCAAAAUUUUAGAAUGGAUUCACAUAUAAGUUUUAGUUCCCCCUUUUGUUUUCUCUUUUCUAUGUAAUCUCCUGACCUGAUUCUAUUUUUUUAGCCAAACUUAGGGUUUCAUCAAAUCUCUGCCUCUCUUAAGGGUUAUUUGGAAGUCCAUUUGGAGGAGUCACUGUGUUCAAAGAUGGAAACCUUUUAAGCAUCUACAGAUACAAACGUUUCUUCAUCUCAAACUGGUGAAUCUGCUUAUACUUUUUCAACUACUCAAGCUAAUGUUAUUGCUAAGCUAAAGUUGGUGGUAAAUGUAGAUGCAUAUGGGCUACUUGUUGGCGACAAUGUAAACAAAUUAGCUAAUCAGGCUGGCAAACUUGUCCGAGUAUAUUGUACGGUGAAAUACCUGGAUUGGAGGGAGGUUCCAGAGAACUUGAAAGAAGAUGUGUGGUUUAAGUUAAUGGUGCUCGUGGAUUAUCUAAAGAUUGAAAGACCAAGUACUGCAAUUCUUAAAAGGGUGGAAAUUAUUUGAGAAGGUGCUCCUAAGAAGAAGAAAGAGGAAUCUAACAGUGAAGGAGAAUCAUCUUCUGAUGAUGAGGUUCCUGUUACAAAGCAAGCAGCAGCUAAGAAAUCAAAACCAGAAUCUAGAAGCUCUGAAUCAGAUUUGAUGGUGAUUCUGAGGAAGAGGUUAAACCCAAGGAUUCUGCUCCAGUUAAAAAGGAUGCAGCUGCUCCAGCGAAGAAUGCAAAUUUCAAGAAGAAAGAGAAGUCAAGUAGUGAUGAUAGUUCCGGUGAUUCAAGCUCUGAGGAUCGAGUUGCAAAGAAAGCUGCUGCUCCUGCACCAGCAGCAAAGAAGCAAGAAUCCAGAGAUGAUGACAGUUCAGAUGAUUCAUCAAAUAUCUUGUAUUAAUUUCAAAAGGUUUCAUGGCACAAACGAGGGGACAAGCUGGGUUAGAUGCGAAUGGCAAGCAACAAUCCACUACUCAUGAAUGUAUUACCAACAUGCUGACAUAAACUUGUACUAGAAACAACAUCACAUAAUGGUAUUCUGAUGCCCAUACACGAUCAAGCUUGGAAUCUUAUGCUAUCACAUCUCCAGCAAGGGGAACCAGUUCACAAUGUCAAUGAAGAAGUCCUCUUGGAGGUACAACUGAACACCGGCACCGACCACAUAUAUAGGUUACCUCUAUGAUGUUGGAAUGCUAGUUAGAUAUAAAGCAGGGAUAUCGUCUGUGUAGUAAUGCACACUAGCUAAAUCAGUUUUCUUUUACACCUGACUGUGUAGUAUGUA